AGUACAGGAUGGACCCGCGUCUGAUUAGCUAGUUGGUAAGGUAACGGCUUACCAAGGCGACGAUCAGUAGCCGACCUGAGAGGGUGAUCGGCCACAUUGGAACUGAGACACGGUCCAAACUCCUACGGGAGGCAGCAGUGGGGAAUAUUGCACAAUGGGCGAAAGCCUGAUGCAGCAACGCCGCGUGAGUGAUGAAGGCCUUCGGGUCGUAAAACUCUGUCCUCAAGGAAGAUAAUGACGGUACUUGAGGAGGAAGCCCCGGCUAACUACGUGCCAGCAGCCGCGGUAAUACGUAGGGGGCUAGCGUUAUCCGGAUUUACUGGGCGUAAAGGGUGCGUAGGCGGUCUUUCAAGUCAGGAGUGAAAGGCUACGGCUCAACCGUAGUAAGCUCUUGAAACUGGGAGACUUGAGUGCAGGAGAGGAGAGUGGAAUUCCUAGUGUAGCGGUGAAAUGCGUAGAUAUUAGGAGGAACACCAGUUGCGAAGGCGGCUCUCUGGACUGUAACUGACGCUGAGGCACGAAAGCGUGGGGAGCAAACAGGAUUAGAUACCCUGGUAGUCCACGCUGUAAACGAUGAGUAC
This 581-nucleotide ribosomal RNA is filed under the name Clostridioides difficile. RNAcentral's name for it is "bacterial SSU rRNA". It matches the Rfam family "Bacterial small subunit ribosomal RNA", at positions 217 to 816 of the family's 1533-position model. The record is from RNAcentral. Lineage: Bacteria; Bacillati; Bacillota; Clostridia; Peptostreptococcales; Peptostreptococcaceae.